GAUGAACGCUGGCGGCGUGCCUAAUACAUGCAAGUCGAGCGAACAGACGAGGAGCUUGCUCCUCUGACGUUAGCGGCGGACGGGUGAGUAACACGUGGAUAACCUACCUAUAAGACUGGGAUAACUUCGGGAAACCGGAGCUAAUACCGGAUAAUAUAUUGAACCGCAUGGUUCAAUAGUGAAAGACGGUUUUGCUGUCACUUAUCGAUGGAUCCGCGCCGCAUUAGCUAGUUGGUAAGGUAACGGCUUACCAAGGCAACGAUGCGUAGCCGACCUGAGAGGCUGAUCGGCCACACUGGAACUGAGACACGGUCCAGACUCCUACGGGAGGCAGCAGUAGGGAAUCUUCCGCAAUGGGCGAAAGCCUGACGGAGCAACGCCGCGUGAGUGAUGAAGGUCUUCGGAUCGUAAAACUCUGCUAUUAGGGAAGAACAAAUGUGUAAGUAACUAUGCACGUCUUGACGGUACCUAAUCAGAAAGCCACGGCUAACUACGUG
This 497-nucleotide ribosomal RNA is filed under the name uncultured bacterium. RNAcentral describes it as "partial 16S ribosomal RNA". It matches the Rfam family "Bacterial small subunit ribosomal RNA", at positions 28 to 507 of the family's 1533-position model. The record is from RNAcentral.